ACGCACGCUGGCGGCGUGCUUCACCCCUGCCAGUCGCACGGAAAGGCCCUGCUUUUGUGGGGUGCUCGAGUGGCGAACGGGUGAGUAACACGUGAGUAACCUGCCCUUGACUUUGGGAUAACUUCAGGAAACUGGGGCUAAUACCGGAUAGGAGCUCCUGCUGCAUGGUGGGGGUUGGAAAGUUUCGGCGGUUGGGGAUGGACUCGCGGCUUAUCAGCUUGUUGGUGGGGUAGUGGCUUACCAAGGCUUUGACGGGUAGCCGGCCUGAGAGGGUGACCGGCCACAUUGGGACUGAGAUACGGCCCAGACUCCUACGGGAGGCAGCAGUGGGGAAUAUUGCACAAUGGGCGGAAGCCUGAUGCAGCAACGCCGCGUGCGGGGUGACGGCCUUCGGGUUGUAAACCGCUUUCGCCUGUGACGAAGCGUGAGUGACGGUAAUGGGUAAAGAAGCACCGGCUAACUACGUG
This 467-nucleotide ribosomal RNA is filed under the name uncultured bacterium. Its description in RNAcentral is "partial 16S ribosomal RNA". It matches the Rfam family "Bacterial small subunit ribosomal RNA", at positions 29 to 507 of the family's 1533-position model. The record is from RNAcentral.